UCACUAGCCCAAGCGAGACAGUCACCUUUACUAAUUUGAAUUUAGCUGCUUCAGACUGUACUGCAAAUGCAACUUUCUUCCAAACAAAAAAUGGUCUUGAGCCCUGUCUUUU
Strigops habroptila (Kakapo) is the source of this 112-nucleotide long non-coding RNA. RefSeq lists it as uncharacterized. The record is from RefSeq and is a predicted model, not a curated record. The transcript is spliced from 2 exons. Lineage: Eukaryota; Metazoa; Chordata; Aves; Psittaciformes; Psittacidae.